CCUACGGGUGGCAGCAGUGAGGAAUAUUGGUCAAUGGGCGCAAGCCUGAACCAGCCAAGUCGCGUGAGGGAAGACGGCCCUAUGGAUUGUAAACCUCUUUUGUCGGGGAGCAAAAGACGCCACGCGUGGCGUUUCGAGAGUACCCGAAGAAAAAGCAUCGGCUAACUCCGUGCCAGCAGCCGCGGUAAUACGGAGGAUGCGAGCGUUAUCCGGAUUUAUUGGGUUUAAAGGGUGCGAAGGCGGAAGAUCAAGUCAGCGGUAAAAUUGAGGGGCUCAACCUCGUCGAGCCGUUGAAACUGGUUUUCUUGAGUGAGCGAGACGUAUGCGGAAUGCGUGGUGUAGCGGUGAAAUGCAUAGAUAGCACGCAGAACUCCGAUUGCGAAGGCAGCAUACCGGCGCUCAACUGACGCUCAUGCACGAAAGUGUGGGUAUCGAACAGGAUUAGAUACCCCUGUAGUC
Molecule: ribosomal RNA, 459 nt
Filed under: uncultured bacterium
Lineage: Bacteria
Description: partial 16S ribosomal RNA
Rfam family: Bacterial small subunit ribosomal RNA
Source: RNAcentral